CUUCCUGAGCCUGGUUGUGCUGGAGAUUUCUUCUGUUAAAAGAAGAGUUUUUCCUUCCCUGUCACGGCCUGGGGGAUCAGCAGGAUGCUGAUUGGCCAUUUCUACCUUUUCCUCUCUCUCUCCCCUCCUCUCUCCUCCUCUCUGUUGCCAGGGCGGAACUCAUUGUGGGUUCACGCCCACGGAAGCGGAACACACCUGAUGCCCAUCAAGGCGAUCGACAUUUAAGCCAGGAGGAGUCUGCUGGUCUUCGCUGGAUUGUUGUCUACCAUGCACCUCCUGGAUACCUUCCCUGUGUAAAUCAUUGUGUCGAGUGUGGAAAGUGGAACUGCGGUCGUGAGUGUGGAGAAUUGGAGAACGAGUGACUACCCCCUUUGGAUUUCCCUGGAGCCCCGUCCCUCACUUUGUUGUAUAUAGCACUGCCCUGCACUUCCUGUAUAUACACCUGGUGGAUUCUGUAAAUAAAUGCAGCUGAUUCUGGA
Oreochromis niloticus (Nile tilapia) is the source of this 479-nucleotide long non-coding RNA. RefSeq lists it as uncharacterized. Lineage: Eukaryota; Metazoa; Chordata; Actinopteri; Cichliformes; Cichlidae. The record is from RefSeq and is a predicted model, not a curated record. The transcript has 2 exons.